UCAAUGCUGAGACUAAAGGCAUGUGUCC
This 28-nucleotide non-coding RNA is filed under the name Rattus norvegicus (Norway rat). Lineage: Eukaryota; Metazoa; Chordata; Mammalia; Rodentia; Muridae. The record is from RNAcentral.